This 406-nucleotide ribosomal RNA is filed under the name uncultured bacterium. RNAcentral describes it as "partial 16S ribosomal RNA". It matches the Rfam family "Bacterial small subunit ribosomal RNA", at positions 28 to 526 of the family's 1533-position model. The record is from RNAcentral.
GACGAACGCUGACAGAAUGCUUAACACAUCAGCAAUUGAUUGGUGGCGGACGGGUGAGUAACGCGUAAAGAACUUGCCUCACAUCUAGGGACAACAUUUGGAAACGAAUGCUAAUACCUAAUACUGUGAGAGAGCUUUGCGUCCCAUUAGCUAGUUGGAGAGGUAACGGCUCACCACGGCGAUGAUGGGUAGCCGGCCUGAGAGGGUGAUCGGCUACAAGGGGACUGAGACACGCCCCUUACUCCUACGGGGGGCAGCAGUAGCGAAUAUUGGACAAAGGACCAAAGUCUGAUCGAGCAAUUAUGUGUGCACGAUUAAGUUUUCGGAAUGUAAAGUGCUUGCAGUUGGGAAGCGGUACCAACAGGAGAAGUGACUGCUAAAUACGUGCCAGCCGCCGCGGUAAUUC